GAUGAACGCUGGCGGCGUGCCUAAUACAUGCAAGUCGAGCGAACAGACGAGGAGCUUGCUCCUCUGACGUUAGCGGCGGACGGGUGAGUAACACGUGGAUAACCUACCUAUAAGACUGGGAUAACUUCGGGAAACCGGAGCUAAUACCGGAUAAUAUAUUGAACCGCAUGGUUCAAUAGUGAAAGACGGUUUUGCUGUCACUUAUAGAUGGAUCCGCGCCGCAUUAGCUAGUUGGUAAGGUAACGGCUUACCAAGGCGACGAUGCGUAGCCGACCUGAGAGGGGUGAUCGCCCAACUUGGAAGUGAGACACGGUCCAGACUCCUAGGGGAGGCAGCAGUAGGGAAUCUUCCGAAAUGGGCGAAAGCCUGACGGAGCAACGCCGGGGGAGUGAAGAAGGUCUUCGGAUCGUAAAACUCUGUUAUUAGGGAAGAACAAAUGUGUAAGUAACUAUGCACUUCUUGACGGUACCUAAGCAAAAAGCCACGGCUAACUACGU
Molecule: ribosomal RNA, 497 nt
Filed under: uncultured bacterium
Lineage: Bacteria
Description: partial 16S ribosomal RNA
Rfam family: Bacterial small subunit ribosomal RNA
Source: RNAcentral